This 470-nucleotide ribosomal RNA is filed under the name uncultured Propionibacteriales bacterium. RNAcentral's name for it is "bacterial SSU rRNA". It matches the Rfam family "Bacterial small subunit ribosomal RNA", at positions 8 to 492 of the family's 1533-position model. The record is from RNAcentral. Lineage: Bacteria; Bacillati; Actinomycetota; Actinomycetes; Propionibacteriales.
AGAGUUUGAUCAUGGCUCAGGACGAACGCUGGCGGCGUGCUUAACACAUGCAAGUCGAGCGGUAAGGCCCCUUCGGGGGUACACGAGCGGCGAACGGGUGAGUAACACGUGAGCAAUCUGCCCAUCACAUCGGGAUAACUCCGGGAAACCGAAGCUAAUACCGAAUACGACCACCUCCGGCAUCGGAUGGUGGUGGAAAGUUCCGGCGGUGAUGGAUGAGCUCGCGGCCUAUCAGCUUGUUGGUGGGGUAAUGGCCCACCAAGGCAACGACGGGUAGCCGGCCUGAGAGGGUGACCGGCCACACUGGGACUGAGACACGGCCCAGACUCCUACGGGAGGCAGCAGUGGGGAAUAUUGGACAAUGGGCGAAAGCCUGAUCCAGCAACGCCGCGUGAGGGAUGACGGCCUUCGGGUUGUAAACCUCUUUCAGCAGGGACGAAGCGAAAGUGACGGUACCUGCAGUAGAGCCC